RNAcentral lists this small RNA (762 nucleotides) under Pan troglodytes (chimpanzee). Its description in RNAcentral is "retained intron". The record is from RNAcentral. Lineage: Eukaryota; Metazoa; Chordata; Mammalia; Primates; Hominidae.
GAGGUUCCGGUUCUGUGGUGAUCUGGACUGUCCCGACUGGGUCCUGGCAGAAAUCAGCACGCUGGCCAAGAUGUCCUCUGUGAAGUUGCGGCUGCUCUGCAGCCAGGUACUAAAGGAGCUGCUGGGACAGGGGAUUGAUUAUGAGAAGAUCCUGAAGCUCACGGCUGACGCCAAGUUUGAGUCAGGCGAUGUGAAGGCCACAGUGGCAGUGCUGAGUUUCAUCCUCUCCAGUGCGGCCAAGCACAGUGUCGAUGGCGAAUCCUUGUCCAGUGAACUGCAGCAGCUGGGGCUGCCCAAAGGUACGGGUUGUGGGUUGGCAGCUGGGCAGCCUGUCGGCCAAGGGCUGCUAGAGAGGGGACAGGCCCUGAGGUGUACCCUGCCCUGUUUGGGCCAGGAGCCCAAGCCCAGCCCCCACCUGCUACCUCCAGAGCUUCUCCAUUCUACCCCCAGAGCACGCGGCCAGCCUGUGCCGCUGUUAUGAGGAGAAGCAAAGCCCCUUGCAGAAGCACUUGCGGGUCUGCAGCCUACGCAGUAAGUAUGAGGCCAGCCAGGGUCCGGGCUCAUUCUAGAAGGUGCACGCAGCACGCAAAGUGCAUGGAGAGUCCAGGGAGACGACUUAACCACGGUCACAUGGUUACUAGCAGCCGUAGAGCUGGGACCUGGCCCUGGGUCUCCUGACUCCCCCCAAGGUUUCUUGUCACUGAGGUCUGCUGUGGGUGAUGCGAACUGAUUAUCGGGCACCUGCCCUGUUCUGAGCCUGGG